CCAGGUAAAGGCCCGCGUGUGGCUCCCGCUGCCUCCCGUCUCUCCCUCGGCCCCUCAGGCUAAUUCGCCAAAAUGACCAACACAAAGGGAAAGAGGAGGGGCACCCGCUACAUGUUCUCUAGGCCUUUUAGAAAACAUGGAGUUGUUCCUUUGGCCACAUACAUGCGAAUCUACAAGAAGGGUGAUAUUGUAGAUAUCAAGGGAAUGGGUACUGUUCAAAAAGGAAUGCCCCACAAAUGUUACCAUGGCAAAACUGGGAGAGUCUACAAUGUUACCCAGCAUGCUGUUGGCAUCAUUGUAAACAAACAAGUUAAGGGCAAGAUUCUUGCCAAGAGAAUUAAUGUGCGUAUCGAGCAUAUUAAGCACUCUAAGAGCUGAGAUAGCUUCCUAAAAUGUGUGAAGGAAAAUGAUCAGAAAAAGAAGGAAGCCAAAGAGAAAGGGACUUGGGUUCAGCUGAAGCGCCAGCCUGCUCCACCCAGAGAAGCACACUUUGUGAGGACCAAUGGAAAGGAACCUGAACUGUUGGAACCCAUUCCCUAUGAAUUCAUGGCCUGAAGGGUGUAAAAAUAAAGACCUGGACUGUA
Molecule: RNA transcript, 584 nt
Organism: Cervus elaphus (red deer)
Lineage: Eukaryota; Metazoa; Chordata; Mammalia; Artiodactyla; Cervidae
Gene name: 60S ribosomal protein L21-like
Exons: 1
Source: RefSeq, a predicted model, not a curated record